UCGGUGGACGGGUGAGUAACACGUGGGUAACCUGCCUGUAAGACUGGGAUAACUCCGGGAAACCGGGGCUAAUACCGGAUGGUUGUUUGAACCGCAUGGUUCAAACAUAAAAGGUGGCUUCGGCUACCACUUACAGAUGGACCCGCGGCGCAUUAGCUAGUUGGUGAGGUAACGGCUCACCAAGGCAACGAUGCGUAGCCGACCUGAGAGGGUGAUCGGCCACACUGGGACUGAGACACGGCCCAGACUCCUACGGGAGGCAGCAGUAGGGAAUCUUCCGCAAUGGACGAAAGUCUGACGGAGCAACGCCGCGUGAGUGAUGAAGGUUUUCGGAUCGUAAAGCUCUGUUGUUAGGGAAGAACAAGUACCGUUCGAAUAGGGCGGUACCUUGACGGUACCUAACCAGAAAGCCACGGCUAACUACGUGCCAGCAGCCGCGGUAAUACGUAGGUGGCAAGCGUUGUCCGGAAUUAUUGGGCGUAAAGGGCUCGCAGGCGGUUUCUUAAGUCUGAUGUGAAAGCCCCCGGCUCAACCGGGGAGGGUCAUUGGAAACUGGGGAACUUGAGUGCAGAAGAGGAGAGUGGAAUUCCACGUGUAGCGGUGAAAUGCGUAGAGAUGUGGAGGAACACCAGUGGCGAAGGCGACUCUCUGGUCUGUAACUGACGCUGAGGAGCGAAAGCGUGGGGAGCGAACAGGAUUAGAUACCCUGGUAGUCCACGCCGUAAACGAUGAGUGCUAAGUGUUAGGGGGUUUCCGCCCCUUAGUGCUGCAGCUAACGCAUUAAGCACUCCGCCUGGGGAGUACGGUCGCAAGACUGAAACUCAAGGAAUUGAC
Molecule: ribosomal RNA, 834 nt
Filed under: Bacillus subtilis
Lineage: Bacteria; Bacillati; Bacillota; Bacilli; Caryophanales; Bacillaceae
Description: bacterial SSU rRNA
Rfam family: Bacterial small subunit ribosomal RNA
Source: RNAcentral